UCCACUGCGCCUGCGCGGAAGCCGGCUCAGAAGCUCACGUGGCUGGUGUAGUAGGCGUGGUCACGUGACAGGACCGAGCGAUGGGAGGAUUCUGGUGCACCCCGGAAGGAGGAUUUUUAAUUCUUCUGUUUUCUUGUCUAUCGCAAAACAGAGUUUACAUGUAUUUUCCUUUUUUCUUAGCUUAAGAAUUGAAGACUUUGGCCGGAUUAGACCUGGUUGUGUGGAGAGGAGAAUUAAUAACUACAGUGGAGCGAGCCCUCCUGCGAGAGUCAGGAUACUACUAUGCUAGUCCCGACUCUGCCCCAAAUGCCUGGAGAGACUUUGGCUAAGUCACUUUUUCUUUCCGCGGGCUGUUUACCGUUGGUAAAAGGAGAGGGUCACCCACUCACUCCACAAACAUUUGUUGAGUCAUUGGUUAUAGCGGGAACAAGACAGGCAAAGUUCUUCCUGAAUUCUGGUCGGAGAUGGAUAACGGAAACAACUUUGUUGAGGGUCUCGUUCUGUCGCCCUGGCCGGAGUGCAGUGUCAUGAUCAGGGCUCGACCUCCCGGGCUCAAACAAUCCCCCUACUUCAGCCACCCAAGUAGCUAGGACCACAGUUAUUACCCAGCACACUUACUGAGCGCUCCACUUCCCAGGCACUAUUUAAUGAUCUGGAGGUUAUAGCAAUCAUCCCAAAUCUCUGGAAGGAGACAGACAAGCACAUAAAUACAUAGCAAUAUUGUGCAGAGAGAAGAGCUGGGAAGGAAAAUGAAACCCAGUAAGGGGAUGGCUAGUGAGAGGGGUGUUCUUUGAGAUAGGUGAUUGGAGGAGGCCUCUCCAAGGAGAUCUGGACUGUAGUGACUGGCAUGAAAAUUUAACUAGGAGUGCUUUCUACACCGAAGGAUCCCUGAAGAAGCAGCCUGCCUGGGAUGUUUAAGGAACCACAGGAAGCUCAUUGCCAGAGGAGUGAGCCAGGGCAGAAAUGUUCAGAGAAAAAGCAGGAGCUUCCCUUUGCCAACCAGGCUCGGAUCAAGUCAUCUUCCCAGCCUCAGUUUCACUUAGAUCCCCACUCCUAAGUACUUUCCCCUGUUUAAUUUUCUUCACAACAUUUAUGUAAUCUGAAAUUAUCUUGUUCAUUUUUUCAUAACUGAAUCACCUGCCCUCCUCCUCCUUCUCUCUCUGUCAUACACAUGCCAACUAGAAAAUAAGUUCCGUGCAUCAGAGCCUGCCCAUCUUAUUCACCUGUAUCCCCAGAAUCUAGAAUGGUGCCUGGCAUAAUAGAUAUAAUAAAUAUGUGAUGACUGAAAGAACCAGAAGAGACCGCCAGGAGGAAACAAGCCUACUCCAGCAGUUUUCAGACAGUUUUGGUCUCAAGACCCCUUUACACUCCUAAAAAUUAUUGAGGAUCCCAAAGUUUUUGUUUAUGUGGGUUAAGUCUGCUAAUAUUUAUCUGAUAAGUUAAAACUGAGAAUUUUAGGCUGGAGGCAGUGGCUCAUGCCUGUAAUCCCAGCACUUUGGGAGGCCGAGGCAG
RNAcentral lists this long non-coding RNA (1512 nucleotides) under Homo sapiens (human). RNAcentral's name for it is "HSALNT0318539". The record is from RNAcentral. Lineage: Eukaryota; Metazoa; Chordata; Mammalia; Primates; Hominidae.